GAUCCCUAGCUGGUCUGAGAGGAUGAUCAGCCACACUGGAACUGAGACACGGUCCAGACUCCUACGGGAGGCAGCGGGGGGGAAUAUUGCAAAAUGGGCGCGAGGCUGAUGCAGCCAUGCCGGGUGUAUGAAGAAGGCCUUCGGGGUGUAAAGUACUUUCAGUCGUGAGGAAGGUAGUGUAGUUAAUAGCUGCAUUAUUUGACGU
This 205-nucleotide ribosomal RNA is filed under the name Vibrio parahaemolyticus. Its description in RNAcentral is "partial 16S ribosomal RNA". It matches the Rfam family "Bacterial small subunit ribosomal RNA", at positions 278 to 475 of the family's 1533-position model. The record is from RNAcentral. Lineage: Bacteria; Pseudomonadati; Pseudomonadota; Gammaproteobacteria; Vibrionales; Vibrionaceae.